UAUGGUAAUUGUGUGCCCCGCGGUAAUACGUAGGUGGCGAGCGUUGUCCGGAAUUAUUGGGCGUAAAGGGAGCGCAGGCGGGAAGGUAAGUCUAUCUUAAAAGUGCGGGGCUCAACCCCGUGAGGGGAUAGAAACUAUCUUUCUUGAGUGCAGGAGAGGAAAGCGGAAUUCCUAGUGUAGCGGUGAAAUGCGUAGAUAUUAGGAGGAACACCAGUGGCGAAGGCGGCUUUCUGGACUGUAACUGACGCUGAGGCUCGAAAGCGUGGGGAGCGAACAGG
Molecule: ribosomal RNA, 278 nt
Filed under: Mitsuokella jalaludinii
Lineage: Bacteria; Bacillati; Bacillota; Negativicutes; Selenomonadales; Selenomonadaceae
Description: partial 16S ribosomal RNA
Rfam family: Bacterial small subunit ribosomal RNA
Source: RNAcentral